Molecule: ribosomal RNA, 504 nt
Filed under: uncultured bacterium
Lineage: Bacteria
Description: partial 16S ribosomal RNA
Rfam family: Bacterial small subunit ribosomal RNA
Source: RNAcentral
GAUGAACGCUAGCGACAGGCUUAACACAUGCAAGUCGAGGGGCAGCGCGGGAGUAGCAAUACAACUGGUGGCGACCGGCGCACGGGUGAGUAACGCGUAUGCAACCUACCUAUCAGAGGGGAAUAACCCGGCGAAAGUCGGACUAAUACCGCAUAAAACAGGGGCACCGCAUGGUGAUAUUUGUUAAAGAAAUUCGCUGAUAGAUGGGCAUGCGUUCCAUUAGGUAGUGGGUGAGGUAACGGCUCACCAAGCCGACGAUGGAUAGGGGAACUGAGAGGUUGGUCCCCCACACUGAUACUGAGACACGGACCAGACUCCUCCGGGAGGCAGCAGUGAGGAAUAUUGGUCAAUGGGCGGGAGCUUGAACCAGCCAAGUCGCGUGAAGGAAGAAGGAUCUAUGGUUCGUAAACUUCUUUUGCAGUGGAAUAAAGUGCAGGACGUGUCCUGUUUUGUAUGUACCCUGAGAAUAAGGAUCGGCUAACUCCGUGCCAGCCGCCGCAGUAA